UACGAGAGGCCCAAACGUUAUUCGGAAUUACUGGGCUUAAAGAGUUCGUAGGCGGCGCAGAAAGUAAGGUGUGAAAGCCCUCGGCUCAACCGAGGAAUUGCGCUCUAAACUACUGUGCUUGAGGAACCUAGAGGUGAGCAGAACAGAUGGUGGAGCGGUGAAAUGCGUUGAUAUCAUCUGGAAUACCGGAGGCGAAGGCGGCUCACUGGGGGUUUUCUGACGCUGAGGAACGAAAGCCAGGGUAGCGAACGGG
RNAcentral lists this ribosomal RNA (253 nucleotides) under uncultured bacterium. Its description in RNAcentral is "partial 16S ribosomal RNA". It matches the Rfam family "Bacterial small subunit ribosomal RNA", at positions 524 to 776 of the family's 1533-position model. The record is from RNAcentral.